RNAcentral lists this ribosomal RNA (261 nucleotides) under uncultured bacterium. RNAcentral's name for it is "partial 16S ribosomal RNA". The record is from RNAcentral.
CUGCUGCCUCCCGUAGGAGUUUGGGCCGUGUCUCAGUCCCAAUGUGGCCGAUCAACCUCUCAGUUCGGCUACGCAUCAUUGCCUUGGUAAGCCUUUACCCCACCAACUAGCUAAUGCGUCGCGGGCCCAUCCAAAAGCGGUAGCAUAGCCACCUUUUACAUAGUUACCAUGCGGUAACUAUGGUUAUGCGGUAUUAGCACCUGUUCCCAAGUGUUAUCCCCCUCUUUUGGGCAGGUUGCCCACGUGUUACUCACCCGUUCG